Long non-coding RNA from Phyllopteryx taeniolatus (common seadragon), 913 nucleotides. RefSeq lists it as uncharacterized. The transcript has 4 exons. The record is from RefSeq and is a predicted model, not a curated record. Lineage: Eukaryota; Metazoa; Chordata; Actinopteri; Syngnathiformes; Syngnathidae.
UACACUAGUUGUGCUGUGUAGCACAAAGAGUCGUAAUCCACAUUUAUUAGGAGAAGAAGAAGAAUCGCCACAGAAGAAGAGGAUUUGCCCCAGAGCCAGUCUCCGACGUCAUUCUAAAGGUCUGUUGAGAAAUGAAAAGACUGGGGGACAAGAUAUAUAGCUUCUUUUUAAAGAGAAGCAAGUGAGGCAACGCCAUCUUGGUUCGGGGUACGCAAGGACACCAUCUUGACUUGACAGCUUUGAUGUAAAACUUCCCUCCUCGGUGACUAAAAGUCCCCCGGAGCAUCAUUUGCUGACAUGCAAGACGUGUGACAGGAAGCCCAGCUGGGAGGAACACGAGCACGCUAGCUAAGGUCUUUCCUUGUCUGCAUCACACGACUCGUCUGUCUGCUGCGUGGCCGCCCGAACGCUCCUUCCGGCCAACCUGCGCGUUUUAUCGAGUGGCUUUGAAGGCCGCCUUGAAGUGCGCGCGGAAGCGCCGAGCUCCCGAUAAUGACGCCGGGAAAGGCGAGCUGUAACGCGGCGGCGCGCUAACAGCUUGGAGCCGGACUCGCCCCCGCGAAUGCCCUCAAACACGUUAUGAGCACGGGAAGAACUCCGACACUUAAGAGCUGAGAGGCCAGAGAGUUUGGCGUGAAUCACAGGAGUCACACGACGGACCUUCAAUUUCCACUUCAUGUGCGUGUCUUGAGACGCGUGUUCAACACUUCAGUGUUUCAGUUCAUUCUGCAUGAGUUGCUCAUCUCAAGAAUGGCAAAAUUCGCAACAGGUGUUUGAACCGAGGAUCGACAAAAACAUUUCUAAAGAUGUCCAUUUCUCGGCCUUUCUGUGACUCUUCCAGUCUCUCUCUUGCAACUCAUCAGCCGUUUGUGACAGACAUCAGAGAGACGGGAACAUUUUAACGGAUCAAACA